CCAAUGGUGGGUUGCUUGCUUCGCUGCCUGCCAAACACCACAAUCAAUAAAACAUAGAAUCCUUGCAAGCAAAUCUUUGCUUUUCUGAUAUGUUUGAACGUGCUAGAGAAAGCGCGUUAUUGCUUUUUUUUUUUUUUCUUCUUCAUAAGGUAAGCGUGAUUCUUGCUUUGUAGCCCAAAAAGAAACAUGCCGUUUUUAGCUUUUGAGUGUUCAGAACAUGGUUUGCUCUGGCUGUUUCUGUUUUAGCAAUCCCAGUUGGGAAUUUUACCUUUAACCGAAUUCUUUGCACUGGAUUUUAAAACUUGAUGAAACCUUAAUUCCUUUAAAAAGACAUUCUUUCAAAUAAGCACGACACUCAAAUACUAACUAGUUGUUUAU
RNAcentral lists this unclassified non-coding RNA (378 nucleotides) under Hevea brasiliensis (rubber tree). Lineage: Eukaryota; Viridiplantae; Streptophyta; Magnoliopsida; Malpighiales; Euphorbiaceae. The record is from RNAcentral.